Molecule: long non-coding RNA, 212 nt
Filed under: Lathyrus oleraceus (garden pea)
Lineage: Eukaryota; Viridiplantae; Streptophyta; Magnoliopsida; Fabales; Fabaceae
Description: Pisum sativum (pea) long non-coding RNA (PSAT_LNC002498)
Source: RNAcentral
AAAACUAGACGUCAGAUCAGGGUUUUAAAGAAAAUUAAGGAUGAAGGGUGACUUAAACGGAAAGAAAGGUCUUGAAUUGGUGUUUAUGACUAGUAAAGAAUAAUGAAAUAAACGACAGGAAUUAUAAAGGAUUUAAAAUGGUAAAGUAAAGUUUGCAAGUACUGGAAUCUUAAAACUGUAAAGUAAACGUUGAAUAUAGGGAAAGGAACAAA